Molecule: long non-coding RNA, 2708 nt
Filed under: Vitis vinifera (wine grape)
Lineage: Eukaryota; Viridiplantae; Streptophyta; Magnoliopsida; Vitales; Vitaceae
Description: long non-coding RNA (VVIN_LNC001534)
Source: RNAcentral
AAUCUUAUUAUUAUUAUUAUUACAAAUUCAACUUUCAAAUGUCGAUGUUUUCGCAGUUCAAUUUCCUAAAGUCCAUUUCUCAUUUUCUUUAACAAAUUUCCAUUUAAUCACCGGAGCUCUAAUCUUUUAAAUUUAAUUCCAAAUACUCCAAUUUUCAAAUAAACUACAAGAAUCCAGUUUUCACUCGAAUAGUUUUAAUCCCAUUUCAGUUCCUAAAUAAUCUUCUGAUCUUCUUGAUUUUACAUAAGCAAUAAUGAUUCCUUCAUAAUUCUAAAACACGGGAUUUGUGAGAUUAGCUCAUGAACAAUAAAUUAGGCUUUGUUGGGGGCCCUAUGUUUGAUCCCUUUUGACUGUCAAUUGUUGUGCUUAAUAUAUUUUGCUUGAGCUUCGUUUUGCACUCCGAUAUGCAUGGGCUAUACUUUGUAUUCAUUAAUUGUGCACUAAUCUCGUUUCUUGAUAGCGCAUUGUGGCUCGUGGCCAAGGUACACAUCCACUCCCAUUCUAGUCAAUCUCUAUUGUGUGUUUUGAUUUUCAUAUUAUGCAUGAUUUAGGUGCGUAUCCAUUGACUUUCUCGUUGAUCGUCGCGUCAGUUUCAUUUUAUUAGUAGAGACCCAUUUUAGAGACUUAGAGAGGUGUUAUGGUCUUUACCGUACCUUCCCGAUAAGUAACCUGACCCCCGAACCCGAUCCGGUUUUUCGUAGACCACAUUUUCCAAAAUAAGGAGUCACACUUAGGGUUUUUCUUUCUUAUUUUGUUUACCCUUUAAAAAUAAAACAAAAAUAAGUGUUUCAAUCAAUUAAAUCAUUUUUCAAAUAAAAAUCGAGCUCGCCAUUCGAGUGGGAAACGCAUGAGCCGAAAUGCGAGGUCCACAAUAUAUAUAUAUAGGUUUUUCGUAGACCACAUUUUCCAAAAUAAGGAGUCACACUUAGGGUUUUUCUUUUUUAUUUUAUUUACCCUUUAAAAAUAAAACAAAAAUAAGUGUUUCAAUCAAUUAAAUCAUUUUUCAAAUAAAAAUCGAGCUCACCAUUCGAGUGGGAAACGCAUGAGCCGAAAUGCGAGGUCCACAAUAUAUAUAUAUAUAUUUAUAUAUAUAUAAUAGGAAUGCAAUAUAUUUUUUAUUUUAAAAAAAUGGAUGUUGAGAUGUAAUAAAAUUUCUAUUAUAUUUUUUAUUCCUUUUAUAAAUUAAAUAUAAACAUGCAAUAAAAUAUUAUGUUGGAUUUAAUAUCUAAAAUACCAUUAUCACUUUAGAUAUAGUAUAUUAAGAUUUGAUUAUGUUAUGUCUUAUUUUAUCCAUCAAUUAAAUGCAUCCUCCAUAUUUUAUACCGAUCUUGCACAUGGAAAAGGCAAAAUGGAACUAAUUAGGCCACGUCAUAUAUGUAAUUUAAGUUUUAUCAUGUUAUACACUAGGUCUUUAACUUUGUACCUCAAAUAUGAUUUUAGUACUUUGUACCUUGACCUCAUUCUUGUUAGCAUCUUUAUUCAAAGCUCUAAAUUUUAUCAUAAACUUUGAAUGACUGCUUGGAUUUGAACUUCAAUAGAUGUCAAUUUGGUACCUUAGACCUUUUCGGAUCUUAAAAACAUAAAAGAAAAAUAAAAUUUUAAAUAAUGAAUUUGAAGAAAAAUGAUACCUUUGAUCUUAAUUUGAAGAAAAAAAGAAUGAAAUUGUGUGGACCCCGCAUUUCGGCUCAUGCGUUUCCCACUAGAUGGUGAGCUCAAUUUUCAUUUGAAAAAUGAUUUUUAUUGAUUAAAAAAAUGACUUGGAGUCGCCACUUAUUUUUGUUUUAUUUUUAAAAGGGUAAACAAAAUAAGAAAGAAAACCCUAAGCGCGACUCCUUAUUUGGAAAAGGUGAUCUACGAAAAACCGGAUCGGGCUCGGGGGUCAGGUUACUUAUUGGGAGGGUACGGUAAAGACCAUAGUACUCCUCUAAGUCCCUAAAGCCGGGUCUCUACUAAUACAAUGAAACUGACGUGGCAAUCAACGAGAAAGUCAAUGGAUACUCACCUAAAUCAUGCACAAUAUGAGAAUCAAAAACACGCAAUAGAGAUUGACUAGAAUGGGAGUGGAUGCGUACCUCGGCCACGAGCCACAAUGCGCUAUCAAGAAACGGGAUUAGUGCACAAUUAAUGAAUACAAAACAUAGCUCAUACAUAUCGGAGUGCAAAACGAAGCUCAAGCAAAAUACAGUAAGCACGAUAAUUGACAGUCAAAAGGGAUCAAACAUAGGGCUUCCAACAAAGCCUGAUUUAUUAUUCAUGAGCUAAUCUCACAAAUCACGUGUUUUAGAAUUAUGAAGGAAUCACUAUUGCUUAUGUAAAAUCAAGAAGAUCAAAAGAUUAUUUAGGAACUAAAAUGGGAUUAAAAACUAUUCGAGUGAAAACUGGAUUAUUGGAGCUUGUUUGAAAAUUGGAGUAUUUGGAAUUAAAUUUUAAAUAUUAGAGUUCCGGUGAUUAAAUUGAAAUUUGUUAAAGAAAAUGAGAAACGGACUUUAGGAAAUUGAACUGCGAGACCAUAGACUUUUGAAAGUUGAAUUUAUAAUAAUGAUAGUAAUAAGGUCUUGAGAGUUUGAAUUAAUAAUAAUAAUAAUAAUAAGAUUUCGAAAGUCUGAAUUAAUGAUAAUAAUAAUAAUAAUAAGAUUUUGAAAGUGUGAAUUAAUAAUAAUAAUAAUAAUAAGAUUUUGAGAAUCGAAUUAAUGAAAAUAAUAAUAAUA